GCUGCGGUGGGAGGACAAACGGAAGUGUUGUAGGACCGGUGAUGCCAGAAUGGCAUAUUGUUUUGUACCAGACUGCAACUCUUAUCAAAAACGAGGAAGUUAUCAAAACUUGUCAUUUCAUUGAUUUCUGAGUAACCCAGACACCCGUCGCCAGUGGAUUGUCAAGAUACGGAGGGAUGUUGGACGACCCUAUUUUCAGAUCACAGACAACACAAGAGUGUGCUCCAAACACUUUUCAAAGGACUGCAUUGUAAGAUUGCUCACCGGGUUGACAAAGUGAAAAACGGGAAUGUGCCAACUUUGUUUGCAUGUUGUCAGCCGAGGACGAGGAGGACAAUUCAACGCACCCAGAGGGUCCCUGUUUGUGGUAGGGGGGCAAGAGCAUCACAAUCCGGAUCAGAAAGUGAACCAUUUUCUAAUCAGGUUUUGGAGGCACUGCGUGAUCUUGACUACCUGGAGGAGACACUAUCUGUGGAAGAACAACUUGUUGCAGCACAGAGGGAGAUUGCUCGUCUGGUUGUGUUUAAUAUCAUUA
Long non-coding RNA from Epinephelus fuscoguttatus (brown-marbled grouper), 535 nucleotides. RefSeq lists it as uncharacterized. NCBI's taxonomy places the organism in Eukaryota, Metazoa, Chordata, Actinopteri, Perciformes, Serranidae. The record is from RefSeq and is a predicted model, not a curated record. The transcript has 4 exons.